RNAcentral lists this long non-coding RNA (1344 nucleotides) under Gossypium barbadense (sea-island cotton). RNAcentral's name for it is "long non-coding RNA (GBAR_LNC020702)". Lineage: Eukaryota; Viridiplantae; Streptophyta; Magnoliopsida; Malvales; Malvaceae. The record is from RNAcentral.
CAACUUUUUUGGUUAAUUUAGAUUCCUGGUGCAUGCAUAUAUGAAUCAUACAAAAAAAGUCAGAAUCCAAUACAGGGAGUACAAAGUUACACUUUUUUUUUAUUUCAUUUUAUACUAUUGGAUCCAACCUUCUUGUGUGGUAUCUCAAUUUUAAAAAAUAAAAAUAAAACGAGAUAAUAAUAUUAUUACAGCUUACCGUGUUUUAUAGUUUGGACGAGAAAAGGCAGGACCUUUUUACAUGCAAUGUCACUAGUCAACAGGACUGGAAUGUUCGCCUGUUUAUCCUGGUGAAAAUCAAAACGCUAUCAUUGUUAACAUUUCUCAGCAUAAAGCCUUCAUCUUUUGUGCAAACAAAUUUUAAAUUAACAGGCCUGGUUUGCAGGACUGGAUCCUUGAAAGCCAGCAAGGUUUUAUACAAUCCAACAUUGCAGAUCAAUGCACAUAUAGGUAUAAUUCUCGACCCAGAACAACAUUCUUGUAAACUCUAAAUCCUGACUCUCACCCAACUAAUCAAUCUUCUCUAAAGAAAAACUUCAACUUAAUACAGAAACCAAAACAUGAACUCCAACAAAUUUCAAGAAAUGCAAAUAAACAUAACUCAACUAGUCGAAAUCACAAGCCAUUUGGAAAACAAUAGAAUCAGUCAAACAUGCAAUAGAAUAAACAAAUAAUAGAACCACAUUGAAAAAAUUUUCAUUUGUUCAAUCGAACAUGCAAUAGAAUCAGUCAAAGAAAAGCCGAAUGGAAAACGCUAGAAACGAAUCAAAAUUAGGAGAACAAAAACAAAUAUUCCAGAUUUGAGCAAAAGCAAAACUAAAUUGAUUUUACAGAAAAGAAAAGAAAAGAAAAGAAAAACAGGGAAAGAGUGCGAGCAUUUUUCAUUUUUGAUAAAAUGGAGAAAAGAAAAGAAACGUGAGAAGAAAAGAAACAUAUGAGAAGAAGAAGCAGAAAUCAAUGGAAAGGAAAAAAAAUUUACCUUGCAAUAUGGAAGGGAAAUGUCGGAGAGGAUGAAGCUGAUGAGGGCAGAAAACGAAAAAGAAAAUGAGAAUUGGGGGGGAAUCCCUAAUCGGCGCUGAAGGGGGGAUGGCUAUUAUAGCCAAUGGGGGUAAUAGGGGCGGAACAGAAUCGGGCUGUAAUAACAUUACAGCCAACCAAACGCCCGUUUGGUGGUGGGCCCGGGGAAUUGGGGGGAUUUCAAAUUCCCACCCAUUGUGUUUGCGGUAUGGAGCCAGCGUCAGUCGAGUAUGACAUGUGCUUUUUAGGGCAUGCCACUUUAGCACAGGUAUUUCUACAUACCCCCCACUAUGCCCGAUAUUCUAAGAAAAGUCCCCUUUUACAUAGAAG